Molecule: unclassified non-coding RNA, 903 nt
Filed under: Nilaparvata lugens (brown planthopper)
Lineage: Eukaryota; Metazoa; Arthropoda; Insecta; Hemiptera; Delphacidae
Description: uncharacterized LOC120349994, transcript variant X2
Source: RNAcentral
UCGACAAGUGAAAAUGUAAACAUGGAAUAUUAAUCAUUUCAUUUCAACGCAAUAAUAUUUAGAAGAGUUCUCUCUAUUAAAUAAUGUUGUUAGUUGUACAUUAUUUUUUUAAAAAAUCUCUCAAAAAACGCCUGGAUAAUUUCUAGUAUUCUAUUGAGGAGUGAGACAAUUUGAAAAUGGAUUUAUUCAAUAAUUAUCUAUAGAAAGAAUAGAUUUUAAGGAUACAGCAGCUGAUUGGCUGGGAAAAUACAAGGAAAAUGAGACAUCUGCUACAACUGACCUCGUGACUCUGCUGUAUUGUGCGGCUGAAGCCAAGCCAUUCAGUAGUGCGUCUAUCAAGAAUCUCAACGAUGAGGAGCUUUUCAUACUGAAAUCCAGUAUACAUGAGAAUUGCAAGGAACGCAUAAGUCAAACAGUAUUCAAUAAUUUUGUCAACUUCAUAGAUUUCAUAUUAUUCAGAAAUGCAGUUGAGUUGUUAUCGAACAAGAGGUUCAUGGAAACAAUUGUGACGAAUCUACAAUUCUUUGUUGAAUCUGAUAUAACUCAAUACAGACUAGUCAGUAUUGUCGUAGGAACACGAAUUAUGAGCGCUGCCCUCCUGAUAGAUACAAACCGGAAAGAGGAGUUGAAUUCUUUGAAAAAGUCUAUCAAAGAAUUGGCAAGAAACAGAGACUUAUUCGAUGAAGUCAUAUCUAAAGGAGGUGAAUUAGCAAAACAAAUUGCAGAAAGAAAAAUGAAAAUGUUCCAGAGAGUGAAAACCUUGCAGAAGUAUAAUUGUUACAAAAUUAUCUUCCUCAAUUUGUUUUCAUCUCUGUUCGAAAACGCAUUACGGUAUGAAUAGUUCAUGUUGCACUUGAAACGUUUAUUAAUUUCCCUGAUUCCUUACGAUAUAUGAAUUGUUGC